Molecule: long non-coding RNA, 652 nt
Filed under: Rattus norvegicus (Norway rat)
Lineage: Eukaryota; Metazoa; Chordata; Mammalia; Rodentia; Muridae
Description: long non-coding RNA NONRATT013481
Source: RNAcentral
GGGAGGGGAGUUAAGAGAGUAGUAGGGGCAGAGGGAGGUGGGGGUGGAGCAAGAGAGUAAGGAGGGGGCGAGCAGCCCCUUUUAUAGUGUCAGGCAUACCUGGCUGAUGCCAGGUAAUUGUGGGGGUGGAACUUAGAUAGAAUGCUAACAGAGGGAACUCGAUACAUAGAUGGGACACCAAAACCGAGAGGAGGCAAGGAAUUUGGCUCAUUUUUCCCCUUGAGCUUGGGCCCUGGAUCUGAUUUCUUCCUGGGAAAUACAUUGGGGUCAACAGGAGUGGAUGUCCUCACAUGUACCUCUAUAGCCAGGGUAUUGGGAGGGCUUAAGUCUGAGUGGGCAUACGUCCCCGCUUCCAGUCAGCCUCCGACUCUGAUUCAAGCUCUUACUCCCUCCCCACAGCAAUUGCAACCGUGGAGUCCUGUACACCAGUGUCUCUGUCCUGGUGGCUCUGCUCUUGGCUGGGCAGGCCACCACUGCUUACUUCCUGUACCAGCAGCAGGGCCGCCUGGACAAGCUGACCGUCACCUCCCAGAACCUGCAACUGGAGAACCUUCGCAUGAAGCUUCCGAAAUCUGCCAAACCUGUGAGCCCGAUGCGCAUGGCUACUCCCUUGCUGAUGCGCCCACUGUCCAUGGAUAACAUGCUCCAAGCG